CGAACGGUCGCGUAACACGUAAGCAACCUGCCCGAAAGACCGGGACAACAGUUCGAAAGGGCUGCUAAUACCGGAUGUGACCGAGGGGAGACAUCUUUCCUUGUUUAAAUCCUUGCAAAGGGGCUUUCGGAGGGGCUUGCGGCCUAUCAGCUAGAUGGUUGGGUAACGGCCUACCAUGGCUUCGACGGGUAGCUGGUCUGAGAGGAUGGUCAGCCGGACUGGGACUGCGAUACGGCCCAG
This 240-nucleotide ribosomal RNA is filed under the name uncultured bacterium. RNAcentral describes it as "partial 16S ribosomal RNA". It matches the Rfam family "Bacterial small subunit ribosomal RNA", at positions 99 to 334 of the family's 1533-position model. The record is from RNAcentral.